RNAcentral lists this ribosomal RNA (580 nucleotides) under Trichoderma virens. Its description in RNAcentral is "eukaryotic LSU rRNA". The stretch from base 212 to 364 matches the Rfam family "5.8S ribosomal RNA". The record is from RNAcentral. Lineage: Eukaryota; Fungi; Ascomycota; Sordariomycetes; Hypocreales; Hypocreaceae.
AGGGAUCAUUACCGAGUUUACAACUCCCAAACCCAAUGUGAACGUUACCAAACUGUUGCCUCGGCGGGAUCUCUGCCCCGGGUGCGUCGCAGCCCCGGACCAAGGCGCCCGCCGGAGGACCAACCAAAACUCUUAUUGUAUACCCCCUCGCGGGUUUUUUACUAUCUGAGCCAUCUCGGCGCCCCUCGUGGGCGUUUCGAAAAUGAAUCAAAACUUUCAACAACGGAUCUCUUGGUUCUGGCAUCGAUGAAGAACGCAGCGAAAUGCGAUAAGUAAUGUGAAUUGCAGAAUUCAGUGAAUCAUCGAAUCUUUGAACGCACAUUGCGCCCGCCAGUAUUCUGCGGGCAUGCCUGUCCGAGCGUCAUUUCAACCCUCGAACCCCUCCGGGGGGUCGGCGUUGGGGAUCGGCCCUUUACGGGGCCGGCCCCGAAAUACAGUGGCGGUCUCGCCGCAGCCUCUCCUGCGCAGUAGUUUGCACACUCGCAUCGGGAGCGCGGCGCGUCCACAGCCGUUAAACACCCCAAACUUCUGAAAUGUUGACCUCGGAUCAGGUAGGAAUACCCGCUGAACUUAAGCAUAU